Molecule: ribosomal RNA, 469 nt
Filed under: uncultured bacterium
Lineage: Bacteria
Description: partial 16S ribosomal RNA
Rfam family: Bacterial small subunit ribosomal RNA
Source: RNAcentral
GAUGAACGCUGGCGGCGUGCUUAACACAUGCAAGUCGAACGGUGAACACGGAGCUUGCUCUGUGGGAUCAGUGGCGAACGGGUGAGUAACACGUGAGCAACCUGCCCCUGACUCUGGGAUAAGCGCUGGAAACGGCGUCUAAUACUGGAUAUGUGACGUGACCGCAUGGUCUGCGUUUGGAAAGAUUUUUCGGUUGGGGAUGGGCUCGCGGCCUAUCAGCUUGUUGGUGAGGUAAUGGCUCACCAAGGCGGCGACGGGUAGCCGGCCUGAGAGGGUGACCGGCCACACUGGGACUGAGAGACGGCCCAGACUCCAACGGGAGGCAGCAGUGGGGAAUAUUGCACAAUGGGCGCAAGCCUGAUGCAGCAACGCCGCGUGAGGGAUGACGGCCUUCGGGUUGUAAACCUCUUUUAGCAGGGAAGAAGCGAAAGUGACGGUACCUGCAGAAAAAGCGCCGGCUAACUACGUG